GAGUUUGAUCAUGGCUCAGAUUGAACGCUGGCGGCAGGCCUAACACAUGCAAGUCGAGCGCGAAAGGCCUUCGGGCUGAGUAGAGCGGCGGACGGGUGAGUAACGCGUAGGAAUCUACCUGGUAGUGGGGGACAACUUGGGGAAACUCAAGCUAAUACCGCAUACGCCCUAUGGGGGAAAGCGGGGGACCUUCGGGCCUCGCGCUAUCAGAUGAGCCUGCGUAGGAUUAGCUAGUUGGUGAGGUAAAGGCUCACCAAGGCGACGAUCCUUAGCUGGUCUGAGAAGAUGAUCAGCCACACUGGGACUGAGACACGGCCCAGACUCCUACGGGAGGCAGCAGUGGGGAAUAUUGCGCAAUGGGGGCAACCCUGACGCAGCCAUGCCGCGUGUGUGAAGAAGGCCUU
This 404-nucleotide ribosomal RNA is filed under the name uncultured Gammaproteobacteria bacterium. RNAcentral's name for it is "bacterial SSU rRNA". It matches the Rfam family "Bacterial small subunit ribosomal RNA", at positions 9 to 418 of the family's 1533-position model. Lineage: Bacteria; Pseudomonadati; Pseudomonadota; Gammaproteobacteria. The record is from RNAcentral.